CUGGGACUUAAGUCAAUAAGUGGCAGCCACCAGGCAGGCCCAGCUGGAGCCAAACCAAGGCCUGGAUUCUCCUCGUGGAUGUCUGGUCUGCCUCUGCCUUUGCUCCUGCUAUCCCCAGGGCCCCAGGUGCCCCUCCCUCCACCUCAUCCUUCUGGACCCAGCAAAUGUCCUCCACCAGGAGGCCUUUCUGGACCUCGUCAUCCUCCUGGAAGGAUCCUCUCCCACCCCGAAGUCCUUUAACUAUUUACUUGUCCCUCUCCUUCGUACUGAGCUUAUGCUGUAUUUGUUUAUGUGCUUAUCUUCUACCGGGCUCAUCUCUGUAACCUUUUUAUUCUUUUAUUCAUUCAUUCCACAAAUACUAAUUGAGCACCUACUAUGUGCCAGACCCCAUGCUAGGACUGGGGACACAAUGAUGAGCAAGACAGACACUGUCCCUGCCACCCUGGAACUCCCAUGUUGGAGAGAAAAAACAAAAACAAAACACGAAGCAAAUAAACAUUAGUAAACACGUCAGGAUAAGCGGCGAUACAGGCUGGAAUAGAAAGGUGUAGGUGAUGUGAGAGGCGAGUGUCCGUGCGGACGGAGGAGCUGGGGGAGGAGACUCUGAGGCCAGAGGUGUGAGCGGAGUGAGUCGGGCACGCUUUCCAGACACAAAAUCGGUGUUUGCUAAACAUGCGUGGAACAAAUGAGUGGCUAACAAGCCAGAAAUUCUGAGCGUGUGCCCCGUGUCGCUCCAGACACAACUUCCUCACCCUCAUCACCCUGUGGGUCACUCCGACUGGCACCCAGACGCGUUUCCCAGCCCACACGCCUGCUACGGGGCCCACCUGUGUCACCCUCACAGAGGCGCUUGCCAGGACUCAAGGGGCUCUCCGCUCAGAACCCCUCAUGGCCUCCCUGACACCACCAGCGGCCCUCGGGCUGGACAGCAAGCGGGUUUUGUCUCGCCUGCAGACUCCAGCCCCGGAGCACCACGCGUGGAAGCACGGCGAGGCCGCCCCUGGGCUCGGUGGGAAAGAGCUCUGAUCGACUGGUGGCGUCUGCCAGGGAAUGGCAGAAGACAGAGAGGCACAUUUGCCACGUAUUUUCCUUGUCACCCAGGGCUCCACAAAUGACCACUCAGGCAAGAAAUCUCCUUCGGGUCUAAUUGCCUGGACGAGCAUUCAGUAUCUGGUGCCCUUUCCUUAUGGGCCACGUGAACCACGUCACUGAUUUUUUUUUCCUGCCUUGACUGCUCAUUAGCUCAGAGCUAAAUGUGUGGUUCAAACACAGCAAAGUAUAUACAGCUCGAUGGCCUGAAUAGGGGGUCUAACUCUCCCCCUGCUUUCAACCUUCUACUAAUCUACAUCUAUGUCUUUUCUGAUCUUAUUUUUAUGAUCUCUAGUUACAUGUCCAUAUACAUACACACAUAUAUGUAUAGACAUAUAUAAACAGACAUACAUACAUAUAUAAAUAUAAAAUAUCUACAUAUAGGUCUGGUAUGUAAUACCUACUUUACUUUUUUUCUAUGAAUGUAUCUUUUAGAUAUAUAGAUAUAUUAUGAAUAUAUCUUACUUUAAAAAACAGAGACAGGGUCUCACUAUGCUGCCCAGGCUUGGCUCAAACUCCUGGACUGAAGCGAUCUGCCUGCCCUGCCCCCAACAAAGUGCUGGGAUUACAGGCACGAGCCACCAUGCACAGCCAUUAACAUGUCUUUUUAUAUUUAUUUUUUACAUUUCUUCUCCCUUUUUUUUUUUUUCAGAGACAGGGUCUCACUAUGUUGCCUACGCUUCCCAAAGUGCUGGGAUUACAGGCACGAGCCACCGCACCCAGCCUUUAUAUUUCUUAUAUAAAUAAAAUAUAGAGAGAGAUAUA
This is a long non-coding RNA of Pan troglodytes (chimpanzee), 1854 nucleotides long. RefSeq lists it as uncharacterized. The transcript has 2 exons. NCBI's taxonomy places the organism in Eukaryota, Metazoa, Chordata, Mammalia, Primates, Hominidae. The record is from RefSeq and is a predicted model, not a curated record.